UACGUAGGUCCCGAGCGUUGUCCGGAUUUAUUGGGCGUAAAGCGAGCGCAAGCGGUUAGAUAAGUCUGAAGUUAAAGGCUGUGGCUUAACCAUAGUAUGCUUUGGAAACUGUUUAACUUGAGUGCAGAAGGGGAGAGUGGAAUUCCAUGUGUAGCGGUGAAAUGCGUAGAUAUAUGGAGGAACACCGGUGGCGAAAGCGGCUCUCUGGUCUGUAACUGACGCUGAGGCUCGAAAGCGUGGGGAGCAAACAGG
RNAcentral lists this ribosomal RNA (252 nucleotides) under uncultured bacterium. RNAcentral's name for it is "partial 16S ribosomal RNA". It matches the Rfam family "Bacterial small subunit ribosomal RNA", at positions 524 to 776 of the family's 1533-position model. The record is from RNAcentral.